CAUGCUGAAAACCCCAACUUCGGGAGGGGUGUAUUUAUUAGAUAAAAAACCAACGCCCUUCGGGGCUUCUUGGUGAUUCAUGAUAACUUUACGGAUCGCAUGGCCUUGCGCCGGCGACGGUUCAUUCAAAUUUCUGCCCUAUCAACUUUCGAUGGUAAGGUAUUGGCUUACCAUGGUUUCAACGGGUAACGGGGAAUUAGGGUUCGAUUCCGGAGAGGGAGCCUGAGAAACGGCUACCACAUCCAAGGAAGGCAGCAGGCGCGCAAAUUACCCAAUCCCGACACGGGGAGGUAGUGACAAUAAAUACUGAUACAGGGCUCUUUUGGGUCUUGUAAUUGGAAUGAGUACAAUUUAAACCUCUUAACGAGGAACAAUUGGAGGGCAAGUCUGGUGCCAGCAGCCGCGGUAAUUCCAGCUCCAAUAGCGUAUAUUAAAGUUGUUGCAGUUAAAAAGCUCGUAGUUGAAACUUGGGUCUGGCUGGCAGGUCCGCCUCACCGCGUGUACUUGUCCGGCCGGGCCUUCCUUCUGGAGAACCUCAUGCCCUUCACUGGGCGUGUUGGGGACCAGGACUUUUACUUUGAAAAAAUUAGAGUGUUCAAAGCAGGCCUUUGCUCGAAUACGUUAGCAUGGAAUAAUAGAAUAGGACGUGCGGUCCUAUUUUGUUGGUUUCUAGGACCGCCGUAAUGAUUAAUAGGGACAGUCGGGGGCAUCAGUAUUCAAUUGUCAGAGGUGAAAUUCUUGGAUUUAUUGAAGACUAACUACUGCGAAAGCAUUUGCCAAGGAUGUUUUCAUUAAUCAGUGAACGAAAGUUAGGGGAUCGAAGACGAUCAGAUACCGUCGUAGUCUUAACCGUAAACUAUGCCGACUAGGGAUCGGGCGAUGUUCUUUUUCUGACUCGCUCGGCACCUUACGAGAAAUCAAAGUUUUUGG
Molecule: ribosomal RNA, 930 nt
Filed under: Camarosporidiella caraganicola
Lineage: Eukaryota; Fungi; Ascomycota; Dothideomycetes; Pleosporales
Description: SSU rRNA
Rfam family: Eukaryotic small subunit ribosomal RNA
Source: RNAcentral